This 238-nucleotide ribosomal RNA is filed under the name Streptomyces sp. SID8455. RNAcentral describes it as "partial 23S ribosomal RNA". Lineage: Bacteria; Bacillati; Actinomycetota; Actinomycetes; Kitasatosporales; Streptomycetaceae. The record is from RNAcentral.
CGGGACCUAAGGCGAGGCCGACAGGCGUAGUCGAUGGACAACCGGUUGAUAUUCCGGUACCCGCUUUGAAACGCCCAGUACUGAAUCAGGCGAUGCUAAGUCCGUGAAGCCGGCCCGAUCUCUUCGGAGUUGAGGGUAGUGGUGGAGCCGAUGAACCAGACUUGUAGUAGGUAAGCGAUGGGGUGACGCAGGAAGGUAGUCCAGCCCGGGCGGUGGUUGUCCCGGGGUAAGGGUGUAG